GCGGACACCAGUGAGCUUGAAAGAUUUUUGAAUGACUAAUACCCUCUAUAAUAGUAUUUUGAAUAAAAACCUAAGUAACAGGAGUAGACGUUUAAAAGACGAGGAAUCAUACUAAACGUUUAUCAAUAUCAGAGACAACUGAAAUAACUAUUACAAUGAAAAUAAAAUUACAAUUCAAACUUGAAGUAAUAUUUACAAUGUGCGGUUGAAGUUGGGCAAACUGCAGCUGCAAUAGUGUCAAGGGGAUAAGUAAAGCUACAGUUUUUGACAUUCUCCCCCCAUUUGUUUUGGGGACGUCCUCGGUGCCAUCAAUGCAUGAUAUGCUUCAAUUAAUGGUUUGAAGGCUUCGAGAUCUUUUUCUCUUUCCCAAGUAUUCUCCUCGCUGCUGCAUCCCAUCCAUUUGACCAAGUACUCCUGAUGAUCUUUUCUAGAAGCUCAAGUGAUUCGAUGGUCAAGAAUAACUUCAGCAACCUUCUUUCCAGCUUUCUUCGGUUCAAACACUGGCUUUGGCUCAUUUCUAGAUGCGUCCUCCUUAUCCGCAAAGUAUGGUUUCAACACAUUAACAUGAAGGACCUUGUGAAUUUUACACCAUGAAGGGAGUUUAACUCUAUAUGCAACUCUUCCAAUCCUCUUCACGAUGGGUAAUGGGUCCAAUGUAUUUCGACGACAAUCUUGAGUCCUUCUCUCUUGUUGGUUUGUAAACAUUUCUGUCGGGAAGCUUAACCAUUACCAGAUCUCCAAUAUUGAAUUUAAUGAAAUGACGCUUUAGAUCUGCAACUUUUUUAUACCGUUUUUGAGCUUUCUCAAGAUAAUUUCGAGCAAUUCCAAUAUUUCAUUUCCAUUCUUGAGAAAAGUUCUUUGCUUGAGGGGAUUUGAUACUUCGUUCGAUAUCCACUGUAUGAGGGAGUAGCGAUUGCAGGCUAGUAACAAUCUCAAAAGGACUCUUAUUGGUAGAAAGAGUUCUUUUGGGCAUUGAAGCAAAUUUGGGCCGCAUUCAAAAGUUUUACCCAAAUUUUUUUGCGAAGUAGAGAUAAAGUGCCGAAGAUAUUCUUCUAGCAUAGAAUUGAAGCGCUCCGUCUGUCCGUCAGAUUGUGGGUGAAAACUAGAACUCAUGCUCAAAGUUGAACCAAGAAGUUUGAACAACUCAAUCCAAAAUAUGCCAGUGAAACGAGAAUCUCGAUCACUGACGAUGUCCUUAGGCAGCUCCUAGCAAUGAAAGUUGCAUAUUUUGAUAGACGGUCCACUACGACGAUGAUAGUGCCAAAAUCCUCAACUUUUGGCAACCCAAUAAUGUAGUCCAUCGAUACACUUUCAAAUGGUCGGGUUGGGACGGAAAGGGGCUCCAGCAAGCCCACCUUUUUCUGAUGAUCUGCCUUAUCUUGCUGACAAAUAAGAUAGGUUUUUAUAUAUGUUUCAAUGUCGUCCCGCAUUUGAGGCCAGUAGUAUGCACGUUGCAGUAGUGCACAAGUGCAUUCCUCUUUGGGAUGCCCAAUCCAAAUUGUGUCAUGGCAUUCUGUAAUUAGUUAUUUCCUCAGAUCUCCGCCCUAAUGAACAUAUAGGCGGUCUCCCUUUGUUUUCACUAGUUCCUCAUCGAGCCAGAACUGUCGAGUUUUACCCUACUUGAUGAGGUCGACCAAAUAUUGGGUAGCCGGGUCCUUCUCUAUAAGUGCCCGAAUUUG
RNAcentral lists this long non-coding RNA (1679 nucleotides) under Olea europaea subsp. europaea. The record is from RNAcentral. Lineage: Eukaryota; Viridiplantae; Streptophyta; Magnoliopsida; Lamiales; Oleaceae.